UACGGAGGGUGCAAACGUUGCGCGGAUUUACUGGGCGUAAAGAGCGCGCAGGCGGUCGUUCAAGUCGAGUGUGAAAGCCCCCGGCUCAACUGGGGAGGGUCACUCGAUACUGAUCGACUUGAAGGCAGGAGAGGGAAGCGGAAUUCCCGGUGUAGUGGUGAAAUGCGUAGAUAUCGGGAGGAACACCAGUGGCGAAGGCGGCUUCCUGGCCUGUUCUUGACGCUGAGGCGCGAAAGCGAGGGGAGCAAACGGG
RNAcentral lists this ribosomal RNA (253 nucleotides) under uncultured bacterium. RNAcentral's name for it is "partial 16S ribosomal RNA". It matches the Rfam family "Bacterial small subunit ribosomal RNA", at positions 524 to 776 of the family's 1533-position model. The record is from RNAcentral.